Molecule: RNA transcript, 3380 nt
Organism: Nycticebus coucang (slow loris)
Lineage: Eukaryota; Metazoa; Chordata; Mammalia; Primates; Lorisidae
Gene name: U2 snRNP-associated SURP motif-containing protein-like
Exons: 1
Source: RefSeq, a predicted model, not a curated record
GCAAAGCUCAAGAUGGCGGACAAAACGCCAAGCAGAUCUCAGAAGGCCAGUUCGAAGACAAGAUCAUCAGAUGUUCAUUCAUCUGGCUCUUCAGAUGCACAUAUGGAUGCGUCUGGACCCUCAGAUAGUGAUAUGCCAAGUUGGACACGUCCUAAGAGCCCAGGAACCAUGAAAGCCUUUGUGAUUCUCAUCAGAAUCUCUCAAGACCUCUUCUAGAAAACAAACUUACAGCAUUCAGUAUUGGAAAAAUGAGUACAGCUAAACGAAAUUUAAGUAAAAAUGAACAAGAAGAAUUAAAGAAAAAGGAGGAUGAAAAGGUAGCUGCUGAAAUUUAUGAGGAAUUUCUUGCUGCUUUUGAAGAAAGUGAUGGUAAUAAAGUUAUAACAUUUGUGCGAAGAGGUGUUGUUAAUACAGCUAAAGAAGAGCAUGAAACAGAUGAAAAGAGAGGUAAAAUCUAUAAGCCAUCUUCGAGAUUUGCAGAUCAAAAAAAUCCUCCAAAUCAGUUUUCCAAUGAAAGACCACUGUCUCUUCUUGUGAUAGAAACCAAAAAACCUCCACUGAAGAAAGGGGAGAAAGAAAAGAAAAAAAGCAAUUUGGAAAUCUUCAAAGAAGAAUUAAAACAAAUUCAAGAAGAGUAUGAUGAGAGACAUAAAACAAAAUACAAGUUAAGUCAAUUUGAGCCUCCUCAGUCAGAUUCUGAUGGUCAGCGUCGUUCUAUGGACGCGCCUUCAAGAAGAAAUAGAUCAUCUGUUCUUGAUGAUUAUGCUCCUGGCUCACGUGAUGUAGGAGACCUAAGCACUACUAAUCUGUACCUUGGGAACAUUAACCCACAGAUGAAUGAAGAAAUGCUGUGCCAAGAAUUUGGAAGAUUUGGACCAUUAGCCAGUGUGAAAAUUAUAUGGCCUAGAACUGAUGAAGAAAGAGCAAGAGAGAGAAAUGUGGCUUUGUGGCCUUUAUGAAUAGAAGAGAUGCUGAAAGAGCUUUACAAAAAUAAAUGGAAAAAUGAUUAUGUCUUUUGAAAUGAAGUUAGGUUGGGGUAAAGCUGUACCUAUUUCUCCACAUCCAACAUACAUUCCGCCUUCUAUGAUGGAACAUAUGCUUCCCCCACCUCCAUCCGUACUGCCUUUCAAUGCACAGCCUAGAGAGUGCUUAAAAAACCCCAAUGCUCCCAUGUUACCACUACCUAAAAACAAGGAGGAUUUUGAGAAGACUCUGUCGCAAGCCAUAGUCAAAAUGGUUAUCCCAACAGAAAGGAAUUUGCUCGCCCUGAUACAUUGAAUGAUAGAGUUUGUUGUACGUGAAGGGCCAAUGUUUGAAGCUAUGAUUAUGAACAGAGAAAUCAACAAUCCUAUGUUCAGGUUCUUAUUCGAAAACCAGACACCAGCCCAUGUUUACUAUAGGUGGAAACUUUAUUCUAUUCUUUAGGGAGAUUCUCCAACUAAGUGGUGGAUGGAAGAUUUUCAUAUGUUCAAAAAUGGAUCUUUUUGGAGAUCAAGAAACAGAAGCUUUUGUAGAGGAGACUAGCAAAAAGGGAGCACUUAAGGAAGAGCAGAGGGAUAAAUUAGAAGAAAUCUUGCGGGGAUUAACUCCGAGGAAAAAUGAUAUUGGAGAUGCCAUGGUUUUCUGUCUUAAUAAUGCUGAAGCUGCUAAAGAAAUAGUGGAUUGCAUUACCGAAUCAUCGUCUGUCUUAAAGACACCCCAUCCUAAAAAGAUUGCUAGAUUAUAUUUGGUUUCUGAUGCUUUAUACAAUUCUUCAGCCAAAGUUGCCAAUGUUUCAUAUUAUAGAAAAGUUUUUGAAACCAAGUUAUGUCAGAUAUUUUCAGAACUCAAUGCUACCUAUCGUGCAAUUCAAGGCCAUUUGCAAUCUGAAAACUUUAAGCAAUGGGUAAUGACAUGCUUCAGAGCAUGGGAAGAUUGGGAAAUUUAUCCAGAACCAUUUUUGAUCAAACUACAGAAUAUUUUCUUAGGACUUGUAAAUAUUAUUGAAGAAAAGGAAACAGAGGAUGUACAUGAUGACAUCGAUGAAGAAAGAGGAAGAGCUUGAUGGUGCACCUCUGGAAGAUGUGGAUGGCAUUCCUAUUGAUGCUACUCCCAUCUAUGAUCUUGAUGGAGUCCCUAUAAAAUGUCUUGAUGAUGAUCUUGAUGGUGUGCCUUUGGAUGCAACCGAAGACUCGAAGAGGAAUGAGCCUAUAUUUAAAGUAGCCCCAUCAAAAUGGGAAGCUGUAGAUGAAUCUGAAUUGGAAGCACAGGCUGUAACAACUUCUAAAUGGGAGUUAUUUGACCAGCAUGAAGAAUCAAAAGAAGAGGAAAAUAAAAAUCAAGAAGAAGAAAGUGAAGAUGAAGAAGAUACUCAAAGUUCUAAAUCUGAAGAACAUCAUCUGUACUCUAAUCCACUCAAAGAAGAAAUGACUGAGUCCAAGUUCUCCAAGUACUCUGAAAUGAGUGAGGAAAAACGUACCAAACUUCUUGAAAUUGAGCUAAAAGUUAUGAAGUUUUAGGAUGAAUUGGAAUCUGGGAAAAGACCUAAGAAACCAGGCCAGUGUUUUCAGGAACAAGUAGAACACUACAGAGAUAAACUUCAUGAGAGAAAGAGAAAGAAUUAGAACAAGAAUGAGAAAGAGACAAGAAGGAUAAAGAAAAAUUGGAAUCUCCAUCCAAAGAUAAGAAGGAAAAAGAUGAAUGCACUCCAACAAGGAAAGAAAGGAAAAAGGAGACACAGUACAUCCCCCAGCCCAUCUCGCAGUAGCAGUGGUAGAUGAGUGAAAUCCCCAUCACCAAAAUCAGAGUGAUCAGAGCGUUCAGAAAGAUCUCAUAAGGAGAGCUCACGGUCGAGGUCAUUUCACAAAGAUUCUCCUAGAGACGUUAGCAAAAAAAACAAAAGAUCUCCAUCUGUUUCUUCCCUAAAAAAUCAGGGAAGAAAUCCAGAUCUCAGUCCUGAUCUCCACACUGGUCUCAUAAAAAGUCAAAGAAAAACAAACACUGACAUAAAUUUUUAAGAUUCUGUCACCUAUUGGAAAUGCAAUUUUGUUUUGUGCCUGAAUGGUCUGUUUUUUAAAAAAAACAAAACAAAAAUCAAAUGAAAGGCAUUCCUGGGGUUUUUUGUUUGUUUGUGAGUGCAUGUGUAAACUCCUGAGUGACUGCAUCUGUAGAUCUGUCAUUGUUUUAUAUUGUGUAAAUUAUGUUCGUUGUGGCUGUUACUCAAGAUGAAAUUUUUAUUGUGCUAAUGAAUUUCAUCAGAAGUGUGUAUAAUGGAUCUGCUGGCAGUAGUAGUAUUUUGUUUUAGGAUGUUGUGACUUAGCAAAAAUAAUACAGAUGUCUUCCCCCCUCUUUUGUAGAUUUGACAAUUUGAAUUAGAUUUCAAAUAAAAUCUGAAAAGAAAA